GCAGAGUGUACAAUGUGCUACCAGAGAGCCGGCAGACAGUGUACGGAGAAACAGCAAGAGAGGGAGGCAAAGAAGAGGAAAGUGCCAGAGCUACCUACAAGUAGGAUCCCAGAAGCCAACGCUGCUGAUCCUGUCAGGAUACACCAGCCCACACGGUCAGGAUGGGCUGUACAACAGGCCAUUUGGCUUGCCAACCACAGCCGCAAACCAACUCGGGGCAGGAGGGUCAAUCGCUAGAGACUGGUGGGGCCAAAGUGCCCGAGGUGCUCUCCUCUCUGGAGCGUCUAUCCCAGGCUACUGGAGGAAUGGAGAAGUCCUGGUACCGCUGCAUCUUUCCAUUUGGAAUCAUCUCUUUAGUUAUCGGUGUAGCAGGAACGGGAGUGACCUACACUUAUAAUGACCUGCCUCAGACUAAAGUGGUGUCAGUUGUGCUACUCAUCAUGGGUAUUUUGCUGUUAAUGAUGGCAACUGCUUGUUGGACUGUCCACAAGAAGAAGAGAAGGAAAAAGAAAGAGGGGGGCUCAUUCACGUCUGAGCAGUGUCCCCUGUGAGCGAACACAGGGGUAUGAUAGAGGAGCUUGAAAGCAGAGACAUGCCUAGAGCUGGGAGCUCGAGGUUUGGCCAGAAAUUCUCCACUUCACCUCCCAAUGCAACAUCCCUCCAUUCUCCGAAGUCACAAAGUUGAGCUCAAAUCAUGUUGGAGAUAGCUUGGGUCAAGAAAUCAGAGUCAAAGGACAGAUAAACAUGACACUGAAGAUCUGUUUAGUCCGUGAGGUCUGCAUCAGAUUUUUUUGGAUUGGCAAUGAGAGAUCACCAGUGCCUCACACGCUCUUUUAUCAUCAGACAGCAGGUGUCCGGUGUCAAAACAACCUCCGAGGAGACGUGCAAAAACAUGCAUUGGACACUGCAUGCAUAUUUACACACACUAACAGGCCUAUGAUGACUUACGCACGAGCAGUUACAGCGGGAGCUCACACAGACACCUAACACGCUAUGCAGAGCUGCUGCUGGAGUCAGUGCUGGCGUCACUAGGCACGUCAGUCACAGCAUUCCUCGUAUCAGGACAGGUGACUCUCCAAGAGGCCACAAACGGGCCAAAGACGGCAACCUGAUACCCAGCCGAAAAAGCAACGCACCCACGUCAGCGGCCAACGUCAUUCACUCGUCCUGUGACACUACAGCAAUGUGUUGGGGGCUUUUUUUGCGCAAUGGGAGAGUGGAACUUGAGUCCUGCUGGAUCUUACUGGCAUCUGUGUGGACGAUCAGUUGGAGAGGGUAGAGGACCUGCUGGAGGAGUGCAAAGUGUUUGUGUGUGCUCAAAUUAAGAUCCAGCUCAACUGAGAGACUUUUGGAAUUUGGUCCUCACAAUGAAGGAAAAAGAGAUUUGCACAUAUGACCAUGUCCAUGGCAAACAAGAAAACAUUUUAAGUAAAGCGACAUACCCUGAAAGGCCUUAUGUAGCUUCAGGUUCACAUUACAAAGGACUGGGGACCUGAUUAUGACUGACUUGAUUGCCUUUCUUUUCAAUAAGUGAGCAUUUACACUCAGCCCUAUGUCUUUGUGGGACACCUCAACUCCACACAAGGGAGUCCAGGAUUAUUGAAGGACACUGCCCUAGGGGACAUGCCACAGCAGGAACACUUUGACUGAUCCUGCUCCCCUAGGGCCCCUCCCGUUUGGUGCCUUGAGCAACCACUCAUGGAAAAAAGCUCUGCCACAUUCCCCCACUCCAAGAGUUACCCCCCUUUGCUUUCUCUCUUUACCCAACAGGACUCUUCAAAUCUGUUUCUCAUUCUACAUUGCCAGCUUCUGACUCAAUCAUACUCAUUUUCCCAUUGUUGUAUAGCCCAGGAGGUGUGUGGACAGACUUAUUACGCUCAAAUUAAGACACACACUUACACGACAGCCUCACAGUCUGCAGACAUUCAUGCAGUCUUUAUCUAUCUGUGCCAAAGGAAUUGGUUUAUUAAUUUUUUCCCCCCACUGUGGAAAAAAUGUUGAUUAAAAGUGAGUCACAAAAUCCUUUGUGAAUCAGAAAAUAGAAUACAAGGCUGUUCUCUGGUGAAAAUUGAGUAAUGCGUAGGCUCUAAGUGGCUCUGGGGUUUCCUUUUCCUUCACAUUUUCUUUUAGAAAGAGUGAGUGAAUGUAGCUGCGCUCAGCGCCACAUCUGUGAAUAGGUGCUUUCUCACAGGAUGAGAUAAACAAUGGCAUUUUACUCUGUCUUAAUCAUUCUCUUUUGUGUGACUGAAUGUAACAUGAGGUUCAAAACGUAACUCCCGCAGGGAGUAAGUGCAAUGUAUACAAUGUAUAGAAAUUUCAGAGAGGAUAAUUUGUCUCCAUGCGAAGGACUUACCCUCGAGAGCUACUAUAGAUCACUGUUGCAUUGAUUGUCUCCACUGGUUUAGUCAAGCUUGCUAAGGAAAAUCUGUCUGUAUAACCAGGGGUAACAGUUAAAUCGAAUGCCAAUCCCACUGAGGACCUUUUGAAGGCCAACUUGCCAAAUUCAAGGCUGCAUUGGUCAUCCUGCCCGACCUCAGUAGACUUGCAAAGAGUCGGCCCCUUUUCUUUUGACAUGUUUUGCGGCUCAGUGUGCAUUUAGAUGUUGUCUUGCAUCCUAAUGAAGGAAGACAAAUACAGUUAGGAGGUAAUGGAGAAAAACAAGGAACCUGGGAAGUCAUUCCUUUCACUACAUGUGGCAGUGAGUAGUUGCCCCAGCAGUUAGAUUAGGAUCAGCCAUCCUGAACAAAGCAGUAAUAUUGUUGAGGAAUAUGAUGCAUUACUGGAAUCCAUGGCGAGAAUUUAAAUUGAAUAGGAGAGGAAUAAGUCUUCUCUGAACCUUAGAUCAGUGUGUUUGCAAACACCUGCAUACUGCAAGCCUUUAUAAAAAAAUUUUUUAGGUAAAUGUCAAAUGCACAAAGCUCAUAAAAGUAUUUAUGGGUGGGCCAUUGUUUUAGUAUCCUCUGAUGAAGACAAGUUAAGAAUUACAUUACAUGGGCUGUCUCACUUUGCUAUCAGAUUCGUUCACCUGGAUUAGGGUUUCUCUAACAAUGAUGGGCACGAGCUGUGGACAGAUGCGGUGGACCUGUCAGAGAUGUGGAAGAGAGGAUGUUUGGUGGCACAGAGAGGAAAAAAAGACGGUUAUGGAUCAGUUUACUGUGGGGAAACAGAGGAUCCCAAAAGCAAGAUAGGUGAUGUGCAUACGCUUAUACUCUCGCCUCUGUAUAGUGCACAUUAUAUAUGUAGUACACUUCGGCUGCAUUGUUGUACUUGUUAAUUUUAAAGCUAUAUCGUGCCAGUAUAUUGACACUAAACAAACAAAAAAAAAAUGAUGGAAGGUGACCAGAAAUUGUUUCUUGUUUCUUGGAGAUGUGAAGUGAUUUCCCUUCUGCCUUCUGAAAGAUUAAAGGGAAAACCUACCUCUCUCUGCUGCGGGGAAAAAUGUCCCUCUCCCAGAAGACAGCCACGCUGUCAGCCUAUGCUGUUUGUCACUCCGGCGAGUGACACAAAAUACGUUGGUUUGUGUGCCCACUAAUAUUUGGUGCUGUAUAUACAAUUAUUUUUCUAUUUGUACUGUAUAUUUCUACUCAUAUGUAAAUUUGAAUUGUUCAUGUAAGCACUGUAUUAAACAAAUGUCACAUAAGCACCUUUGUUUGUGAUAGCCUAAAGGUUAAAAAAAGAAAAAAAAACUUGUGCAUUCAUUGUAUGUCUUUGUACUUGUUUGCUUUGGAAAAUUAUUCAGAAUAGUGUGAACCGUCGCGCCAUUCCACUCUGUCCUGGUCAAUCUGGAAGAAUCUCUGACAGGGCUAAAAAUACAGAAGACAAGUGGAGAGUGGACAGUGGAUACAAAGUAGACCAACAUUGUUUUGGCUCUAUUUUGAACAGUGUGAACAAUAAUUGCAACCGUCGCUCUGCUUUUUCACAAAACGCAAAACCUGUCUUUAGUUGACGGCCUUCGCUUGAAAUUUUGAUGCUGUAUUUAGACGCGCUGCCAUGUGCUGCCCUGCCAGCUAGGAUGACUUGUUCAGAUACCCGGGGAUGAGGAAUCUGGUUGUUAAGAAAACAGACUGGCCAACAUCAAUCAGAAUAAAUGACACCACCUACUGGCAGUAGAAUAAAGUAGGCCAAGUACUCUCACUUGUUAUUAAGUCACAGUUCUGCAGGAGUUAAUUUUAUAUUUCUGGGUAUAAACAUAUUCCAUCAUAAUUAAAUUACAGCUGGGAAAGCGUGGGUGUGGAGGGAACAGUGCUUAGGUCUUGAUAAAAGGGUGGGUAGGCCAUUGGAGGGUAAAGUGCAGACGAGGUGGAAGUGGUCAGCUGGAUUGCUAGGGUCAGCACGGAUUACAGGAAACCAGACGGAAACAAGUCGUCCGCCUCUUUUUAUCCAGAACUUGGCCUCAAACCAAAACAUUCAGCACUAUUUGGCUCCUUAUCAGACUUUGAAUUAUGCAAAACUCAGUUUAAUACACACAAAACAGAAAAAAGAAGCAGACAGCACAAUUUGACACAGUAAAGUCGGGAUUGGAGUCAUCUGGUGUCCCAUGACUUUAUUUAUACUUUAUUCAAAUUUCGGAUCAACACCAUCUGUUCAAAAGACAAAUCCGGGUGUAUUUAAUUAGCUAGCAACUAAGGCUGGUUCCACAUAAUACCUUUGUAGCAGGAUGGAGUUACAUUUCAAUUCAUCUCCAGAUAUUAUGGGAGCUGUUUUGGAGACAGUUGUAGAUGAAAUUACACAUGCCUGGCCAGACGGUCAGAUUAAAUCACAAGCAAAAUAACAUUAAGCUGAAGUCUGUGUGUAGCUAUUGCAACAGAAACAAAUUUGAUGAGAAGGCAUUGGACUUAAUCACUCAGAGACUCGAGAAUACUUUAAUAAUCCAACAGUGACACAAACUAAAUGCUGGUUCUUAGUUUUAGGUAUUUCUGUAUGGGCAUCAGCAACACUGGAAAUUACAAACAGAUAGUAGCAAUCUUUUUCUCAUCAAUAAAGCUUGCAAAUUAAGUCACUGAAAUGUGAAGUCAUCUCCCAUUUACUUCCCAUAUAUAAACAAACUUUUUUACUACCAAUAAAAAUGACAGACCUUGCAGUUUUCUGAGCACAUUGAGCGUGGUUUUUAGCUUUAAUUAUUUUUGUUAAGGUUCAAAGCACCACCGGAUCUCCUCUCCCUCGCUCUUCCUGGUUACUUUGUGUUUUACUGAGAAAAUGGUUAAGAUUACUCUGAGUUUCUAUGGAAACUGCUGCGUUUAGUUGCGGAUGUUACAGCCCCUGCCCUCUCUGCGGUCACUCCGCUACAAGAUAAUUUGAUCAUCCUGCACCUCCAGUUUUAAAUAGCCUAAGAAUGAGCAAAUGAGCAAUUUAAACACUUGUAAGCUCGUGAUUAUAGAAGAAGAACGCCAAGAUGUCUUGUCUUAAUGCUUUUGUGAAUUACAUAAAAGUUUCAUGUAAACUUAUUUAGGCAUUUUCCUUUUUUUCCCUUUUUUUUUUUAAGGAACCUACUGAGUGGAAGAGGCAAUGCUGAGCACUGGCUAUUGUUAGUGAUGAUUAGAUUGGAUGAGCAGGUGAUGUGUGGAUCAAUAGAGAGCCUGAAAGGAACACAUGAUUACUCUUGGGAGGUUACGCUGCUCCCUUAAGACCCUUUUCAGAAAGACAAGCAAUGAAGAGAUACUAUUGAACUGAGAGAGUAUAGCAAAUAACAGUGGGGAUCAGACACAAUGGUCAUAAUCAGGGUGUCAUCUAAUUAAAGGCAGCUGCUUCAGAAGCUGAACCAGUCGCUUAUUUCUUUUAGUUACAUCUCUGCUUUAGCAAACAAAUAUUAUCAUAUGACAAACUCUCAGUCAUUUAAAAACACACAUUAAAACCUGCUUAUUCUUGCUGAGCAGGGUAUUGUGGUUUUUUUUAAUACCGUCGGUCUUAUUUAUGUCUAUUGAGAUUUUUCUCAUGAUGUUUUAUUGAGUUUAUUGUGUAUAUUAGUGUAUUUAUUAGUGAGUUUGUGU
Molecule: long non-coding RNA, 5987 nt
Organism: Oreochromis aureus
Lineage: Eukaryota; Metazoa; Chordata; Actinopteri; Cichliformes; Cichlidae
Source: Ensembl